GCCAGGCACAGUGGUCUAUGCCUGUAAUCACAGCUACUUGGAGGCUGAGACAGGAGGAUCACAAAUUUGAGGAACUUAGCAAGGCCCUAAGCAAUUUAGUGAGACCCUGUCUCAA
RNAcentral lists this small RNA (115 nucleotides) under Marmota monax (woodchuck). The record is from RNAcentral. Lineage: Eukaryota; Metazoa; Chordata; Mammalia; Rodentia; Sciuridae.